Molecule: ribosomal RNA, 403 nt
Filed under: uncultured bacterium
Lineage: Bacteria
Description: partial 16S ribosomal RNA
Rfam family: Bacterial small subunit ribosomal RNA
Source: RNAcentral
AUUGAACGCUGGCGGCAGGCCUAACACAUGCAAGUCGAGCGAGCGGCGGACGGGUGAGUAAUGUAUGGUGACUGCCAGAUAGAGGGGGAUAACUACAGGAAACGGUAGCUAAUACCGCAUACUAUCGGAUAACCCAUAUGGGAUUAGCUAGUAGGUGAGGUAAUGGCUCACCUAGGCGACGAUCCCUAGCGGGUCUGAGAGGAUGAUCAGCCACACUGGGACUGAGACACGGCCCAGACUCCUACGGAGGCAGCAGUGGGGAAUAGUGCACAAUGGGCGAAAGCCUGAUGCAGCCAUGCCGGGUGUAUGAAGAAGGCCUUAGGGUUGUAAAGUACUUUCAGUCGGGAGGCGUUACCGACAGAAGAAGCACCGGCUAACUCCGUGCCAGCAGCCGCGGUAAUAC